Long non-coding RNA from Takifugu rubripes (torafugu), 4306 nucleotides. NCBI's taxonomy places the organism in Eukaryota, Metazoa, Chordata, Actinopteri, Tetraodontiformes, Tetraodontidae. The record is from Ensembl.
AUGACUGCACGUGGGUGGACUCUCAAAGGUUUUCUGAGUCUUCUGGUGUUUCUCCAGACUCCUGAUCAUCGUCUUCAGCGCCUUCCUCUCCAGCUCCAAGUCCUCCUGCUCCUUCUCUCGCAGCAGAACGUUGUUGAGGGACACCAGGUGGUGGAACUUCUCCUGCCACUUCCGUUCUUGCAUGUUGACUUGAGCGACCAGCCUGGCGUUCUCUUCCUCCAGUCUGAUCAAAAGCAACCGAUCCAAGCUCUGCUUGUGCAGCCGCCUGGCGAGAGCUUCCUCCGCGUCCCUGAGUCGACUGAGCACCUCUGCUCCUCUGGCCGCCACCUUCGAAAGCUGCUGCCGCAGAUCGUGGACCGUUUCGGCCCCCGGCUCCUGGGAUUCCACGUUCUGCCCGAGGGAAUCCUCGACUCUGCACUCGUGCUUGAUCGAAUGCUCCGGUUUCACGGGCGGGGGCAUCAAGUGUGGCUCUGACAACUGUUGAUGUUCACAGACGGACACGUGUUGGACAUUCAUGCACUCCGGGUCGCAGUGCUGCACCUCUUCUUUUGCGGGGGGUUUUGGCUCAUUCUUGGGCUUCCAGAACCUCGCCAGCUGCUUCCUGAUGAACUUUAGCACGGCGGCGACUUUCAUUCUCUUUGAACUUGCCUGCAUUGUUAUUUAAGAUUCACAACCUAUUGGUUAUUAUAAAUUUGCUCAUUCAGAUCAAUGCCUGGUUUGCUCUGAUCAAUUAACUUCAAAGACAUUGCUGGGUGUCUUUGAUCAAUACGCCUCGGCUGUGUGGCGGGUUUUUGUUAGACACAAGACGGAGGCCAAAUCCAACAAAGGUGUGUUUAAAGAAUUGGCUCUCGUGUCAACUUCCGUGUGUGACUCACAUACAUUGGAAAUGCUAUUUUCAGCCCGGUGACACAUCCAAGUGCACGGGGAUGCUGUGCACGUUAAUGUGGGGUUUUCUGUUUGUUUCGUUUUUAUCUUUUAUACAUCAAGGAAAAAUGAGAUGAGUAACCUCUGACUAAUUUAUUCCUCAGUUCCUCGGUUUAGUCCCCACUAAUGAGAGCAUCCUUUCCUAUUCAGAGGUAUUUAACCAGCAACAUGUACCUAAAAUGUUGGGAUGCGAUCCCAUGAUAGCAACAACCCAGGUUGGACACAAAUGCUGUGAUGCUGACAGUGAUUAUUUACCAAAAAGACAGAAAAAAAACCUACAAAAAGGCAUUCAAAGAGCAGCUUCCUUCACCAAGCAGCUCAUUUCCAAACACAACCAUAAGUUCCUUGGUCUAUUAACAUUAACAUUUACUCAUCCUAAUGGUACAUUUUUAAAUCCCAAUAUCAAAUUAAAUCAUCUGAAGGCAGCGAGGACCUAAACAGCUUUAAAAAAUGGACGCGUGUGGAGGAGCAUGUGUGUUUAUCACAUAUAAUGGACAUUGAUGAAAUACAAAAAACCCAAUGAGAAUCAAUUCCAAAAUAUUGUGCAAAGCAAAACUGACGCAUCAGUUUUCCACCUUCCCAUUUAAAACAAAAAGAACAACCAAUCAGUAGAUUUUCACACUGCAAUAAAACCCGCUGACAUGUGUCAUUUGGAAACAAAGGCGGUAAAAAGGUUUCAAGACUGAAAUUACUGGACGACCGAGGUGUCGCUCUCCAUGGGCGCUGCACGCCGAGGCUCUAAUUGGCUUUGUUCUCCAGCCAAAUAAUAACCAUGUAUGCUAAUGGUGUAAAUCCUGCCGAUGGCUCUCAGAGCUCGUUUCACAUGAACAAUGAUGACGAAAAAAUGUAAAUGCCCACAUUUGCAGUAAUUGGUCUGGGGAAGACUGUCUGCUUUGUGCUUUUUGUGAUGCAAAUGCUUGAAUUUGUGGUCGCCUGGAAAGUUGGGCAGGGGAGAUUACCACACAUACUUCCAUGUCAUUAUCCCCCCCCAACUUUACCUUUUCAAUGGAAAUCAGAAGAUUUUAUAAACAGUACGCAGGACAUGUUUGAAUGUGAAUUGCAGCAGCGGGGGAAUAUCUUUCUUCUGAUCAUCUCUGCCUCUCUCAAACACGCCUUCCAACAAAGUUAUGAGAACGGCGCCCUGUUGCACGGCUGUAAUUGGCCAUUCACGGGACAGACCUGACAGGAGCCGGGUUUCAUCUCCAGCUUGUCCGGCAUGAAAGACGAACAGGGAGAAGAUAUGUGUAAACCUGAAAUGUUCCUAAGUAGUUAUCCGUAAGUUAUUUAGUUAGUUAUUCAUUUUUAGACACGCGAUUAUUAUGAAACACAUUAUUGUGGAUGAGCCUCUGGAAUUAAAAUAAAGUUUUAUAUAAAAAAAUAAAUAAAUCCAAACGCUUUAUUUAUGUUAUAUUCUGCAAGUUUUAUUGAGAAAAAAAAUUAAAAAUGAAAAUAUUCAUCAUUUAAGAACAAGAAAUUAUGCUUUAUAUUUGUAAUUCUAUUAAUAUACGGUAUAUGGAAUACAGUAGACAUUGAAACAUUUUUAUUCCAAAACGGUCUUAAUUCAAUCACGUUAACGGAUUCACACGUAACAACCAGACGAUCCGGAUCGGUAUUUUAUUUUACUCAUAAGAAAGAAAUCAAGCUUACCAUCUAUAGAUCACUUGUUGCGGGCUCGGGUAAGGACCGACCACCCCAGCAGAUGAGUCCCCUCCCGAUGCCACAGAUCAAGGCGCCGGGUCUUGAACCUGACCCCUCAGGACCAUCUAGGGCCAGCUUGUCACAUCGCAUUCCCGCUGGCGCAUUGUUUCCCCGGGACGUUAGUCAAUGCUUCAAGGGAGAUAGAUAGUGUGUCCGUCCGUCCAAUGAGCCUCCUCUCUCCCCUCUCCGAUCCCCGCGGCGCUCCCGGGUUUGACACUGGAGACAAAAACCAGCGGAGAGGACUAUGAAUGGUAAAGCACCGAGGAGGCCGAGGGAGAGCAAAAAGGAGGCGGUGUGCCUUUGUAGUCAUGGAGGAAUGCGGAAAUGUCCCCGCUCCGUGUCAAACCUCUCUGAAGGGGGUCAGGGCACAUUCAGCCGGCGUGGGAAAGCCAGCCAGAGACGGAGCUCACACAGGCGUGCGCGGCCGCGGUUGCAUGGGCCUACCCGGGGAUAUAUGGAAGAGAAAGGGGAGCGGAGAGAAAGGAGAAAAUCCAAAGAAGAAGCGUGGUUUGGGGAGGCCUGGAUCACGCAUUUGCCUUUGUCCUCUGACCCCCACCACCACCAACGCCGCCACCUCCUCCCACCCUACACCCCCACCCACAAAGUUGCAGUGUGAGUGUGUGUGUGUGUGUGUGUGUAUGAGAGAGAGAGUUUUCGUAAAGCACUCCUCCUCCUUCACCACCUCCUCCUCCCCGGUUUGAGUGUCUCUGCCUGGACUGGUGCAGUCUGAGGGAUGAGGGUUACAGCCUGCACCGUCCGACUACCUGUGUGGCCCCCGCAUGGAGCACAGGGAUGCGUUUGAUGCAGGACGUUUUUGCCCGAGACACCAAUGCCUCCUCAGCAUUUUGUCGGACAUGUCGACUCCACAGCAUUGUGUUGACAGCUUAAUCCAAGGUAAACACUUAAAGUCUAGAUAUUGGUGUCGGAUGUGAUAUUUGAUGUCCUCGAAAUAUCAGAAAGUGUCUAUUUAAAGCCCCAUAAUCCGUUGGAGACUGAACCGAGCAGCUGCGCAACUUGCCGGAAUUAUUUUAAUUAGCGAGGGUCAGCGCGCAAUUAAAUAAGAAAAAAAUCGAGGGAUGUACGUAAGCACUCCAAAACCACUUUAAAACUACGUUAGAACAUUGUUCCACCUACUAAUAAAGUUUAAAGCGUCCGAAACGCGACUUUUGCGCCGUUCUAAAUGGAUUGUUUCUGUAGGAAGUCCAGACAAUGCAAUCAGUCGCCAGCCACGUGCUCGCUAAGUUUGUGUCGCAUCAAACUCUGACGAAACAAAGUCAGGUUAAAAUAUGGACUCUCCGCGUUUCCAGCUUUUACAUUUUUAACGCGUCACGUUUCUGCUCAAACUUUGUGCGUUUUCCUUUACAUUUUCUGGUUUGGUUUCCUUUCACAGUUUAAGUGCGCAUUUACGCAUUUAAAGCAAAGCUGCACGUGGGUGUAGGCUUUUUAAAUGCACGAGACAGCUCGCUGAUCGCAGCCUUUGCUUUAAACCCAAUUUUUUUAUGCGCUUAAUUCGAAUUAUUUGACAUAUGCGUUAGAGGUAGCAGGACAUGAGUUGCUGUGCGUAAUAGGAGGAGGAGACGCAGCGGGGCUCUGGUGUUGGAAAUGAACCGUAAUGACAGUCCUGUUGCUGCCUACCUGGAGCCCAGUUUGACCGCGUCUGACAAAGAUGGUGUCUUCCUCCAUC